RNAcentral lists this unclassified non-coding RNA (428 nucleotides) under Hevea brasiliensis (rubber tree). The record is from RNAcentral. Lineage: Eukaryota; Viridiplantae; Streptophyta; Magnoliopsida; Malpighiales; Euphorbiaceae.
AUAAUAAUUAAACACAAAUUAACACAAUCACAAACGAGUGAUUUACACUUGCUGUGACAUUGUGAAAAAUGUCAGAAAUAUUUCCACCUAUUGCUGACUGUUCUCUAAUUUCCCUCUAAAAUGACAAAACAACCCCAACACUUACCUUCUCCCACCCCCGGCCUUCGUCUCUUCUCCAUCCCCAUCCCUUCUCUCUCAUAGUCAACUGAUAAAAUCCCAAACCCUCAGUUACAAUCACAGUCAACAACUUCAAUCACAAUCGAAACAGAUUUUCUCCCCAAUGCAUGAACCUUACAAUCCUCCUAUUCUUUGAUUAAUCACUAAUUAGUUGUUGAUGCCUAGACUAAAAGAAUACCAGAACAAUUACUUGCUGAACCGAAUGUUGAUGACUGUUCUAAAUAUCUCACCCCUCUUCUUGUUCACAAUCU